This 301-nucleotide ribosomal RNA is filed under the name uncultured bacterium. RNAcentral's name for it is "partial 16S ribosomal RNA". It matches the Rfam family "Bacterial small subunit ribosomal RNA", at positions 509 to 807 of the family's 1533-position model. The record is from RNAcentral.
CAGUCGCCGCGGGAAUACGUAGGUGGCAAGCGUUGUCCGGAAUUAUUGGGCGUAAAGGGCUCGCAGGCGGUUUCUUAAGUCUGAUGUGAAAGCCCCCGGCUCAACCGGGGAGGGUCAUUGGAAACUGGGAAACUUGAGUGCAGAAGAGGAGAGUGGAAUUCCACGUGUAGCGGUGAAAUGCGUAGAGAUGUGGAGGAACACCAGUGGCGAAGACGACUCUCUGGUCUGUAACUGACGCUGAGGAGCGAAAGCGUGGGGAGCGAACAGGAUUAGAUACCCGAGUAGUCCCUGUCUCUUAUAC